This 989-nucleotide long non-coding RNA is filed under the name Mytilus galloprovincialis (Mediterranean mussel). Lineage: Eukaryota; Metazoa; Mollusca; Bivalvia; Mytilida; Mytilidae. The record is from RNAcentral.
UAAAAGACAACUGAUCAACUCCAUUGUAGUCUGUUUGAUUGGAUUUAGGGAUUUUAAUUACAGUAACUUUUCUUUUAAGGUGAACGGAACUGCCUGUGCUGUACCAAGAUUGAUAAUGAAUAUACUGGAAACAAAUCAAACAGCAGUAAGUGCUAGUAAUACUAGUAGUAUCAUUUUAGUAUAAUCAGUUUUUCUCAAAAACAGACUUUAUUAGUAUGCUAUUUUAAAUUGCUAUUCUUAAGGUGGUACCUAACACUACAGGGAGGUAACUCUGUAAAGUCAGCUAAACAUUUAAAUUAUGUUGUGUUGUAAAGGGAACAUUAAGCUUCUCAAUGAUCAAAAUUGGUGUUUGUCAAACUGCUAUAUAACCAGUGUACUUUUUCUGACAAAACGGUUGGUUCAAAAUUUUUGAUUUUUUUAUAUUUUUGUUGAAGGGUCAAAGUAAAUACAUUGUCAAAAUUUAAUGAAAAUUAACCGAGCCAAAUUAAUUUUAGGGAAAGUGUUGGGUACCACCUUAAUGAAUUGCAAUUGUAUUUUCUCUUUUGAAUUAUGAUAUACAUUGUUUGAGAAACUAUAAAAGAUUUAACCACUCUCAAGCUCAUAAUACAAGGUUGUCCAAAUAAAUAUAGCAAUGUUCUUUGAUUUGACCAUUAGUUCCAUUUUUUAAACAUCUUGAAACUUUCAAAUAGAAAACAAAAAAGAUAUAUAGGUUCAAUUAUCAUUAGGUUAAAACUGUUGAUCUUAACUGCUGGUUAAGUUCAAAGCAAUACAUUGCAUAAUCUUACUUUGUGAUUUGUUUUAUAGGAUGGAGAUGUUCUCAUUCCAACAGUAUUACAGCCUUAUAUGGAUGGGAAAGAAAAACUGACAAAAAUAGACAAAAGAAUAAAAUUCAUACCAGCUAAUAAAAUACACAGGAUGAUACAAAAAUAAAUAUAGAAAAACUCAAUUUUAUUUGAUUAGUGUAUAUAAGAUUUUUCUUAUCCCCAGGC